CUGGCUCAGGAUGAACGCUGGCGGCGUGCCUAACACAUGCAAGUCGAACGGAGUUACGAGAGCUUGCUUUGUAACUUAGUGGCGGACGGGUGAGUAAUGCGUGAGCAACCUGCCUUUCAGAGGGGGACAACAGUUGGAAACGACUGCUAAUACCGCAUAACGUAUCGUGAGGGCAUCCUCGUGAUACCAAAGGAGCAAAUCCGCUGAAAGAUGGGCUCACGUCUGAUUAGCUGGUUGGUGGGGUAACGGCUCACCAAGGCUGCGAUCAGUAGCCGGACUGAGAGGUUGAACGGCCACAUUGGGGCUGAGAUACGGCCCAGACUCCUACGGGAGGCAGCAGUGGGGAAUAUUGGGCAAUGGGCGAAAGCCUGAACCCCAGCAACGCCGCGUGAAGGAAGAAGGUCUUCGGAUUGUAAACUUCUUUUAUGAGGGACGAAGGACGUGACGGUACCUCAUGAAUAAGCCACGGCUAACUACGUGCCAGCAGCUGC
RNAcentral lists this ribosomal RNA (491 nucleotides) under uncultured bacterium. RNAcentral's name for it is "bacterial SSU rRNA". It matches the Rfam family "Bacterial small subunit ribosomal RNA", at positions 19 to 518 of the family's 1533-position model. The record is from RNAcentral.